RNAcentral lists this ribosomal RNA (639 nucleotides) under Hepatozoon martis. RNAcentral describes it as "SSU rRNA". It matches the Rfam family "Eukaryotic small subunit ribosomal RNA", at positions 174 to 808 of the family's 1831-position model. The record is from RNAcentral. Lineage: Eukaryota; Apicomplexa; Hepatozoidae.
AUCUCAACUGUUUAGAAGAGAUGCAUUUAUUAGAUAAAAAACCAAUACAUGCUUUUAAAGUAUGAAUGUUGGUGAUUUACAAUAACUUAGCAAAUCGCAUAGUGCAUACAGGCGAUAAAUCAUUCAAGUUUCUGACCUAUCAGCUUUCGACGGUAUGGUAUUGGCUUACCGUGGCAGUAACGGUUAACGGGGGAUUAGGGUUCGAUUCCGGAGAGGGAGCCUGAGAAACGGCUACCACAUCUAAGGAAGGCAGCAGGCGCGCAAAUUACCCAAUUCUAACAGCAUAAGAGAGGUAGUGACAAGAAAUAACAAUACAAGGCAGUUAAAAUGCUUUGUAAUUGGAAUGAUAGAAAUUUAAACACUUUUUAAAGUAUCAAUUGGAGGGCAAGUCUGGUGCCAGCAGCCGCGGUAAUUCCAGCUCCAAUAGCGUAUAUUAAAAUUGUUGCAGUUAAAAAGCUCGUAGUUGAAUUUCUGCUAUAAAUAACCAGUCUGCUUUUAAUAGAAGUAGUACCUUGGUCUGUUUUUAGCAAUAAUGUCCUUUGAAAUGUUUUUUACUUUAUUGUAAUAAAUUAUAUUCAGGAUUUUUACUUUGAGAAAAUUAGAGUGUUUCUAGCAGGCUAACGCUUUGAAUACUGCAGC